GACGAACGCUGGCGGCGUGCUUAACACAUGCAAGUCGAACGGAAAGGCCCCGCUUUUGUGGGGUGCUCGCGUGGCGAACGUGUGUGUAACAUGUGAGUAACCUUCCCUUUACUUUGGGAUAACUUCAGGAAACUGGUGCUAAUACCUGCUAGGAGCUCCUGCUGCAUGGUGGGGUUUGGAAAGUUUAGGCGGUUGGGGAUGGACUGGCGGCUUAUCAGCUUGUUGGUGGGGUAGUGGCUUACCAAGGCUUCGACGGGUAGCCGGCCUGAGAGGGUGAACGGGCACAUGAGGACUGAGAGACGGACCAGACGCCUACGGGAGGCAGCAGUGGGGAGUAUGGCACAGUGGGGGGAAGCCUGAGGAGGAAACGCCGGGAGCGGGGUGAAGGCCUUCGGGUGGUAAACCGCAUUAGCCUGUGACGAAGCGUGAGUGACGGUAAUGGGUAAAGAAGCACCGGCUAACUACGUG
RNAcentral lists this ribosomal RNA (468 nucleotides) under uncultured bacterium. Its description in RNAcentral is "partial 16S ribosomal RNA". It matches the Rfam family "Bacterial small subunit ribosomal RNA", at positions 28 to 507 of the family's 1533-position model. The record is from RNAcentral.